GGCAUAAGGGAGCUUGACUGCGAGACCUACAAGUCGAGCAGGGUCGAAAGACGGACUUAGUGAUCCGGUGGUUCCGCAUGGAAGGGCCAUCGCUCAACGGAUAAAAGCUACCCCGGGGAUAACAGGCUUAUCUCCCCCAAGAGUUCACAUCGACGGGGAGGUUUGGCACCUCGAUGUCGGCUCAUCGCAUCCUGGGGCUGUAGUCGGUCCCAAGGGUUGGGCUGUUCGCCCAUUAAAGCGGUACGCGAGCUGGGUUCAGAACGUCGUGAGACAGUUCGGUCCCUAUCCGUCGUGGGCGUAGGAAAUUUGAGAGGAGCUGUCCUUAGUACGAGAGGACCGGGAUGGACAUACCUCUGGUGUACCAGUUGUCGUGCCAACGGCAUAGCUGGGUAGCUAUGUGUGGACGGGAUAAGUGCUGAAAGCAUCUAAGCAUGAAGCCCCCCUCAAGAUGAGAUUUCCCAACUUCGGUUAUAAGAUCCCUCAAAGAUGAUGAGGUUAAUAGGUUCGAGGUGGAAGCAUGGUGACAUGUGGAGCUGACGAAUACUAA
Molecule: ribosomal RNA, 547 nt
Filed under: Staphylococcus aureus
Lineage: Bacteria; Bacillati; Bacillota; Bacilli; Caryophanales; Staphylococcaceae
Description: partial 23S ribosomal RNA
Rfam family: Bacterial large subunit ribosomal RNA
Source: RNAcentral